AUUUUAAAAAUACCUACGUAAAAUUAUAUUAUAAAUAUUAAAAUUAAAAAAAAAAAAUAUAAAAAAAAAACAAUUUCGUUUAUUUUAAAAAAAACCAUUUACGGUUUAGGGGAAAACCAAAAACGGUACCAAAAAUGCCCAAAAAAUUGUUAAUAACCGUGGUAAUUAAUCCAACGCAAAAACCGCCCCCUAAUUUAAAAAUAAUCGCCCUUAAAACAAAUAUUACACCGAAUAAUUGGACGAUCGAAAUAAUAAUUAAACCCGAAAAACACCGACGCAAUAAACGAAAUAAAAAACCUAAAAUGCAAUUUAAUAUAUUAUUAUUGGAUAAAAAAAACCACGUUUACGACCUGGUUAUUAAAUAUAAAAUAAAAAACAAAAUUACGGUAUUAGGGGUUCCAUUUAAAUAAUUAAACGCCGCCGAAAUCGAAAUGUUAUUAAAUGCGGGAAUUUUGCAACCGGUAUUAAAAAAUAACGCAUAUAACCGGAUUUUCGGCGCUAAAAUAAUACGAAAAAUUAAAAAUACGCCGGAACGGUUAUACGAAAAAUCGAAAUUAAUGGUUUAAAAUUAUAAUAAUUAGGAAAAAAAAACCUUUUUAACGUAAACGUUAACGAUUAUAAAAUGUAACCAACGUUUAAUUUUUUUAAUCGCACCAAAUUUAAUAAAACGUUACGGGUAUAAAUUUAUAAUUCGGAAUAUAAAUUAGGCGUAUAUUUAAUUAAAAAACCAAUUAAUAAAGAACGUUUUGGUGCGGAUAUUAAAAAAAUUAUAAUAUAAAUACCCACGAAAUACGUAUUUAAAAGUUUAUAAAUUAUUAUACGACCUAACCGAAUUAAAUUUGCAUUAAUUUAAUACGUAUUAACGUUAUUAUAAAAAACGGUUAAAUUGCAAAAUUUCGAUUUACGAUAUUUGUUUGUUAAUAAUAAAAAAUAACCCGUUUGGAUUUGUCGGAUUCCAAACGAAUAAUAUAUUAAAUUUAAACGAUCCAAAUUUUAUUGCAACGGAGGAAAUAAAAUUCCAACGAACAAAAUUUUUUGCAAAACCCCAAAAAAUUUUGCAAAAAAAUAAUAUAAAGGAUUUUAACGGUUGCAAAAUAACGUUAAAAAACGGUAUUAUUAUAAUAUAAUAAAAAGGACAAAUAAAUUGUUUGGAACAAAUAAAAAUCGGGGUAAUUAAUCGCCAAUAAUAAUACGUAAUUUAACGUAUUAAAAAUGUAUAUAUUAUAAUAAUUUACCAAUUAAAAACAAUUUUUAAUUUAUCCGUGGCCGUACAAAUUAAAAAACCAACGGAUAUAAAAAUUAAAACGUUUAAUAAACGUAUAUAAUAGCAAUUCGAUAAUAAAUUACGGGGUUUAAUAUAUAUACCGUUAAAUAUAAAAAAAACCAAAUUAUACGUAUUUGUUAACGGGUUAUUAAUUAACCUAACAAAUAUAAAUUCCCAAAUCGGUUAUUUAAUU
RNAcentral lists this small RNA (1457 nucleotides) under Pyricularia oryzae. RNAcentral's name for it is "Magnaporthe oryzae sRNA M_BR32_EuGene_00143871". Lineage: Eukaryota; Fungi; Ascomycota; Sordariomycetes; Magnaporthales; Pyriculariaceae. The record is from RNAcentral.